AUUGAACGCUGGCGGCAUGCCUUACACAUGCAAGUCGAACGGUAACAGGUCUUCGGAUGCUGACGAGUGGCGAACGGGCGAGUAAUACAUCGGAUCGUGCCUAGUAGUGGGGGAUAACUACUCGAAAGAGUGGCUAAUACCGCAUGAGAUCUACGGAUGAAAGCAGGGGAUCGCAAGACCUUGUGCUACUAGAGCGGCCGAUGGCAGAUUAGGUAGUUGGUGGGAUAAAAGCUUACCAAGCCGACGAUCUGUAGCUGGUCUGAGAGGACGAUCAGCCACACGGGGACUGAGACACGGCCCAGACUCCUACGGGAGGCAGCAGUGGGGAAUUUUGGACAAUGGGCGCAAGCCUGAUCCAGCAAUGCCGCGUGCAGGAUGAAGGCCUUCGGGUUGUAAACUGCUUUUGUACGGAACGAAAAGCCCCGGGUUAAUACCCUGGGGUCAUGACGGUACCGUAAGAAUAAGCACCGGCUAACUACGUGCCAGCCGCCGCCGUAA
This 498-nucleotide ribosomal RNA is filed under the name uncultured bacterium. RNAcentral describes it as "partial 16S ribosomal RNA". It matches the Rfam family "Bacterial small subunit ribosomal RNA", at positions 30 to 523 of the family's 1533-position model. The record is from RNAcentral.